Molecule: unclassified non-coding RNA, 154 nt
Filed under: uncultured Xylaria
Lineage: Eukaryota; Fungi; Ascomycota; Sordariomycetes; Xylariales; Xylariaceae
Description: sequence contains ITS2
Source: RNAcentral
CAACCCUUAAGCCCUGUUGCUUAGCGUUGGGAGCCUACGGCACCGUAGCUCCCCAAAGUCAGUGGCGGAGUCGGUCUCACACUCUAGACGUAGUAAAUCUGUCUCGUCUGUAGUUGGGCCGCCCCCCGCCGUAAAACACCCCGAUUUUAAAAGG